This 468-nucleotide ribosomal RNA is filed under the name uncultured bacterium. RNAcentral's name for it is "partial 16S ribosomal RNA". It matches the Rfam family "Bacterial small subunit ribosomal RNA", at positions 28 to 507 of the family's 1533-position model. The record is from RNAcentral.
GACGAACGCUGGCGGCGUGCUUAACACAUGCAAGUCGAACGGAAAGGCCCUGCUUUUGUGGGGUGCUCGAGUGGCGAACGGGUGAGUAACACGUGAGUAACCUGCCCUUGACUUUGGGAUAACUUCAGGAAACUGGGGCUAAUACCGGAUAGGAGCUCCUGCUGCAUGGUGGGGGUUGAAAAGUUUCGGCGGUUGGGGAUGGACUCGCGGCUUAUCAGCUUGUUGGUGGGGUAGUGGCUUACCAAGGCUUUGACGGGUAGCCGGCCUGAGAGGGUGACCGGCCACAUUGGGACUGAGAUACGGCCCAGACUCCUACGGGAGGCAGCAGUGGGGAAUAUUGCACAAUGGGCGGAAGCCUGAUGCAGCAACGCCGCGUGCGGGAUGACGGCCUUCGGGUUGUAAACCGCCUUCGCCUGUGACGAAGCGUGAGUGACGGUAAUGGGUAAAGAAGCACCGGCUAACUACGUG